Molecule: unclassified non-coding RNA, 324 nt
Filed under: Hevea brasiliensis (rubber tree)
Lineage: Eukaryota; Viridiplantae; Streptophyta; Magnoliopsida; Malpighiales; Euphorbiaceae
Source: RNAcentral
CUUUAAAAAAAUAAAAAUAAAAAAUCCAUCAAACUAAUUGUAGAAAAUCAGUAAAAUUCUGGUUAUUUUGGUUGAAUUUUUUGCCUAAUUGAAACAAUAACCAAAAACUGAAUUUUUUAGAGAGUACUAAUUGAACCAAACCAAAAACCAUGUUGUUUGAGGAAAAGUAAAGAGGAAAGGUGUCUACUGAAUUGCUAUGAUUUGUUUUAUUAUUUCAAUCAUAACAAAAUCUAACUCAACCUAGGUUGGGAAUAGAGAUCUUUUGUUCCAGUGGCAACAUGCUGGUGCCAAACCUCAAACUGUAGCAUGAUUAAGAAAAGGAGG